Non-coding RNA from Durio zibethinus, 3653 nucleotides. The record is from RefSeq and is a predicted model, not a curated record. Lineage: Eukaryota; Viridiplantae; Streptophyta; Magnoliopsida; Malvales; Malvaceae.
UAUAAAUGGCGGGAGCCUUGCCUGGGUCGAAACUUCACGCACCCAAUCAUCUCUUUCUAUUUGGCGUCAAAAUCUCACUGUUUAUCACAAUAAAAAAUUUCUCCAAAACCCUCCGAUCCUUAAAACCCAAACUUCCCCUAUUUUUGUUCUUCACCUCUUUCUCUUUUAUUAUUUCCCCUCCUUUCGUCUAAAUUUCUUCAAUUCUAGGGUUUGUUAGUCUCUUUAUUGGAAAACCCUAGUUUUUUUUCCCUUUUGGGUUUGCUUUUUGCAGAUAGAGAAAGUGGGAGAGUUGGAGCAGUGUGGUACAUUCUAAUUCAAUGGAGGCCGCGGCCAGUGUCGCCGCCGCACGGAGUGGUUCGCUGCUGAUGCCAUCACCGUCGCGGAAGGAGUGGCGUGCCGUUUCUGACCAUCACGUGGUUCGGAGCCCCGGGGAUGAAGAGGAAUUGGACAAAUCAAAGUUGGGACAAUCAGAUGAGAGAACCAUAUAUGAGGUGCAGCAUGGGAGAGAACCUGAUGAUGUUGACUUCUGUUCAAUCACGGUUGAUGGGAGUUUAGAUGAGGACAUAUUGCAGCAGCAGAUCCACAAUGUUACUAGACAGAGAGAGGAGCUCCAACAGAUGGAGGUUGAACUCCGAGCUCAGGCAAUUGCAAGAGCAAGGAUCCUGGAGAUACAGAAUAGCUGUGAUGCUAAAAUCAAAGCCCAUGCCAGUGCUGCUGCCAAGCUUGAGGAGCGACUCUGUGAAAGUGAACAGACCAUACAUGAAUUGGAAAGGAAAAUGGAAGAGAAAGAUAGAGAGCUUCAUGCCAUCAAAGUUGAAAAAGAAGAGGCCUGGGCGAAGGAAGACCUUCUCAGAGAGCAAAAUAAGGAACUGGCAACUUUCAGAAGAGAACGUGAUCAUUCAGAAGCUGAGAGAGCCCAACAUCUAAAACAGAUAUGUGAUCUUCAGGAGCAUGCUCAAGAGAAAGAGAGGCAGCUUAUUGAGUUGCAGGAACAGUAUAGGGCUGCUCAGGAAACCAUUCUUUAUAGGGAUGAACAGUUGAGAGAGGCCCAAACUUGGAUUUCACGUGUCCAAGAGAUGGAUGCUUUGCAGUCAAGUACAAACCACUCCUUACAGGCUGAAUUGCGAGAUCGUAUAGAACAAUAUAACCAGCUAUGGCAUGGCUGUCAGAGACAGUUUGCAGAGAUGGAGAGACUUCAUUUACAUACGAUACAUCAGCUUCAACUUGAGCUGGCUGAUGCAAGAGAGAGGAAUGGUUCUUAUACUGAUGAAUCACAUAUAUCCCAAGCAAAUUCAAAAGAUUUAUCUCAAUUUGGUCCAAAUAAAGGAAACCAAGUGGAUUCUAAUGGAAGUAGUGCAAAAAAUGCUGAUACUGGGGUCAUUUCGAAUGGGGCUUCAGACAAUGUUCAAUCAUUUGCUUCAGCUGUCUGUGCACCAACUCUGAUUCAGAAUGACCAUGUUUCGAGUGUUCCAAUUACUCCACUUGGGAUGCCUACAUACCUCCCACCUGGGCAGGUGACUGCUCUGCAUUCGUUUGUCAUGCAUCAACAGGGGGUUCCCCAUUCUGUGGCAUCUCAUGUUGGACACUAUUCAAUGCCAGCGAUGUCAUCCAUCCUGUGGCAGAACCAACAGACUUCAUCAGAGGGUUUCCAACUAUCUGCACAGAAUCAACCUCCACAAUCCCAAACUGAGCAAAGCCUUGGGAGGUCUGAUGUAAAGUAUGAAUAUGAAAUGUCUGUCAAUGGACAAACCAUUCCUCCAGACUAUCUGGAUCAUAUAAGCCAAGGGCCAGAGCCCAAUUCUGUGAUUUCAUUAUCUGCUGGGAAAGCACAGGUCCUUGAGUCAAUUAAUGCUAGUUACCUCGUGGACCCUCAACCUGAGCCAAGCUUGCAGCAGGUUUCUUCACAAUUUCUUGAUGCAUUGAGAUUGGGCUCUCUUGAACAGAGCUGUGAAUCCAAGGAACAGAAUAUUCUGAACAUGAAUAAUCAUGUGUUGGAGGACCAAGUUCUAACAACAGAAGAAGCUAGUGCUGCUGCCUGCCCAUCUCCUCCUGAUUCUUUGGUCCAUUCUAUUAAUUUCAGUGAAACAACAAUCAGCAAUGGCACUGGUGCUAUUUUGCAGGAAAAGUUGGUCUCAAUGGGGCAGACCAAUAUAUUGAUAUCAGCUAAGACUUCAGAAACUGCUCUGCUUGAUGAAAGAUCAUUGUUGGCUUGCAUUGUUCGCACUAUUCCAACUGGUGGCAGAAUUCGGAUCAGUUCAACGCUACCAAAUAGGCUGGGGAAAAUGCUUGCACCGUUACAUUGGCAUGAUUACAAGAAAAAGUAUGGAAAGCUUGAUGAGUUUGUAGCCAAUCACCCUGAGUUAUUUGUGAUUGAGGGUGAUUAUAUUCAGCUUCAAGAGGGAGCGCAAGAGAAGAUAGCAGCCACAGCUGCUGUUGCUAAAGUCGCUGCAGCCGCCGCAGCCUUGUCUUCUUACUCCUCAUUUUUGCCUUCUGUUGCUGUUACUCCAAUGGCGCAGGCUAAUAGACCAAAGAAGGUCCCCCCAUCAAUUGAUUCCAACCAUGUGAAGAAUGAGAAUACCGUUUUCAAGGAGCCUGCAACCAUCUCUAAAAAUGCAGCUGAUGAUCAUUCACAGCUGUUAGGAAUGCAGAAUCAACAUCCCAAUGGCAUUUGUUUUGGUGUGGCUGGAGGUCUCUCUAAUGUAAAAAUAUUGAGCAAAUCUAAAGAUCCUACUGAAAUUAAUGGAGCAAAUUUUGAGAGAUCUAGUGUGACAAGUGUUGAAAGCAAGGCCUCUGGUAAUGGAAGGUCUAAUUCAAAUUUUGUUGGAAAACAGCCGGGCAGGGCAACUGGGGCAGCAUUAUCUUCUAGAAGAUAGUGAGUGCAUUUUCCUCGAUUGUGAGAUAUUCGGUGCAGGAUUAUUAAGAGGUUUAUAACAAUUAACUCAACCUUGAUAACCUGAUGGACAUGCUGAAUUGCAAUGUUAAGUUGUGGAACAUGCAUUAUGCAGAUUGCAAGCAUCUCGGGAUAUGAUUUGUAGUUAAAUGUAUCUCCUGAUCUUGUUCAUCAGCCAUCUUUUACAUUAGACAAAGUUCUCUGAUUGGAUCAUAAGCUGACUACUUAAAUUUUCUUGCACCUUUUGGCCCUGUCUCUUGGAAAAAACACUAAUUAUUUUAUUGCGUGUUCUUGUCAUACUCAAGCUGCAUAUAUUAUUUUCUGCAUCAUUAUCCAACCAUCCUUGCACCCAUUUACAACUGUGCAUCUGUCAGUUCAUACUCAUUUCAGUUUUUCAAUUCUUAAGUAAUUAAAGCAACGGUGAGUCGGGUCAAAAUGUCAGCCACCUGCUUGGUUUGCCAAUUUCUGGCGGAAAUUACAAUAGAAUGCAGUCAGCAUAAUUGCAUACAAUUUGGGUUGUCAUUUCGAAAACAAAAGCGCUAGCACUGCAUAUUAAAACUUAAACGAUACUUGACCAGAAUUUUUUUCUACAAAAAAAACCAUAUCCUAAUGAUAAAAAAAUGAGUUAUAGAUAUUAAAGUGUAAAUUCUGAAGGAAAUUUUUAGUAUGGGGUAAUCAUUUUAAAAUCAAUGGUAAUAAAAAAUCAUGGUGAUUGAUACAUGGUCAUUAGAUCAUUAUGUUUGUUAAGCAUUUGGUGAAUUUA